Molecule: ribosomal RNA, 429 nt
Filed under: Bacteroidota bacterium
Lineage: Bacteria; Pseudomonadati; Bacteroidota
Description: Bacteroidetes bacterium partial 16S ribosomal RNA
Rfam family: Bacterial small subunit ribosomal RNA
Source: RNAcentral
UAGGGAAUCUUCCGCAAUGGACGCAAGUCUGACGGAGCAACGCCGCGUGAGUGAAGAAGGAUUUCGGUUCGUAAAACUCUGUUGUUAGAGAAGAACAGCGCAUAGAGUAACUGUUAUGCGUGUGACGGUAUCUAACCAGAAAGCCACGGCUAACUACGUGCCAGCAGCCGCGGUAAUACGUAGGUGGCAAGCGUUGUCCGGAUUUAUUGGGCGUAAAGCGAGCGCAGGCGGUCAAUUAAGUCUGAUGUGAAAGCCCCCGGCUCAACCGGGGAGGGUCAUUGGAAACUGGUUGACUUGAGUGCAGAAGAGGAGAGUGGAAUUCCAUGUGUAGCGGUGAAAUGCGUAGAUAUAUGGAGGAACACCGGUGGCGAAAGCGGCUCUCUGGUCUGUAGCUGACGCUGAGGCUCGAAAGCGUGGGGAGCGAACAGG